This is a small nucleolar RNA of Suncus etruscus (white-toothed pygmy shrew), 138 nucleotides long. RefSeq annotates it as small nucleolar RNA SNORA61. The record is from RefSeq and is a predicted model, not a curated record. NCBI's taxonomy places the organism in Eukaryota, Metazoa, Chordata, Mammalia, Eulipotyphla, Soricidae. The transcript has a single exon.
AUUUUCCAAUUCUCUUUCCCAUCAGAUCUAAACACUGGUCUUAAUGGUUAUAAAAGAGAAAUAGUAAUACCAAAUCUGGCCUAACAGAGCUCAUUGUCUACCACAUAACCAAAACUGAAGGGCUAGUUUCAAAGAAAA